CAAAAACAUGUCCUUUUGAAUGUAUAUAAAAGGUCUGACCUGCCCAGUGAUUUAUUUAACGGCCGCGGUAUAUNGACCGUGCAAAGGUAGCAUAAUCAUUAGUCUUUUAAAAGAGGGCUGGAAUGAAAGGUUUGACGAAGUAUUAGCUGUCUCAUUUUAUUUGGGUUUAGAAUGUCUCAUUUUAUUUGGGUUUAGAAUUUAACUUUUUAGUCAAAAGGCUUAAAUUUAAUUGGAAGACGAGAAGACCCUAUAGAGCUUUAUAUUAAUUGUUUUUAUUUCAAGUAUAUAAUUUUUAAUUAAAAACUUUUAUUAUUUUGUUGGGGUGACAAGAAAAAGAAUUAACUUUUUUAAUUAUUUAACAUUAAUAUAUGAUUAUUUGAUCCAUUAUUAUUGAUUAUUAGAUUAAGUUACCUUAGGGAUAACAGCGUAAUCCUCCCCCAGAGUUCAUAUUUACGGGUAGGGCUUGCGACCUCGAUGUUGGAUUAAGAUAAUAGUUAGGUGUAGCAGCUUAAUUUAUAGGUCUGUUCGACCUUUAAAUUCUUACAUGAUCUGAG
This 554-nucleotide ribosomal RNA is filed under the name Helocordulia uhleri. RNAcentral describes it as "partial 16S ribosomal RNA". It matches the Rfam family "Bacterial large subunit ribosomal RNA", at positions 1808 to 2609 of the family's 2925-position model. The record is from RNAcentral. Lineage: Eukaryota; Metazoa; Arthropoda; Insecta; Odonata; Corduliidae.